AUGAGAAUACCGGUUGUCACACUAAAAUUGGAUUUUCAGAAAGCUUUUGAUUCGGUCAGUUGGGACUACCUUUUCCAGGUUAUGGAAGCUAGAGGCUUCCCUCCAAAGUGGGCACAGUGGAUCAAUACACUUCUCUCCUCGGGCAAUUCUCGAGUGCUCCUCAAUGGAGAGCUAGGAGAUCCCGUUGUUGCCAAAAGAGGUUUUAGGCAAGGGGAUUCUCUGUCACCGUAUCUAUUCUUGCUUGUAGCUGAUGUGCUCUAG
Molecule: ribosomal RNA, 261 nt
Filed under: Triticum aestivum (bread wheat)
Lineage: Eukaryota; Viridiplantae; Streptophyta; Magnoliopsida; Poales; Poaceae
Description: partial small subunit ribosomal RNA
Source: RNAcentral